RNAcentral lists this long non-coding RNA (2148 nucleotides) under Macaca mulatta (Rhesus monkey). Its description in RNAcentral is "lncRNA (ENSMMUG00000055180.1)". Lineage: Eukaryota; Metazoa; Chordata; Mammalia; Primates; Cercopithecidae. The record is from RNAcentral.
CAGGAAAUUUGCUGAAGUCUUACUGUUGAAAGAGAAGAUAAGAGGACAUGACUGCACCUCACUCUUUGUGCCUGUUAGAGCCCCAGAACUGCCUCGGUGCUGCUGGUUGGACAGUUAUUCUCACCAACAAGAAGGCAGACCACGGUGAGUCCAUCUGCAGCUGGUCCGGCUUACUGAGGGGAAAAGAGAAGACUUCCCCUUGUAACCUGGCUGGAAGCCUUCCCAAGAUACCUGGGUGCUAUAUCAGCUUUCUCAACCUGGAAGUUGGACCCUGGAGCCUGCAUUUUGAACAGAUGUUCUGGGCAAUUGCCAUGUGCAUUAUAAGUAGGGAACCAUUUACAUGAAGGUUCUACCUACCUGAGCAAAGGUGGAAGUUGGGAGAGAUAGGGCCAGAGAACAGAGUGGCUAGUUCUUUGCCAUCUUUGGUUUCCCGAGGUCUCUGCUGGGCAAAGAGUCUCUCGGAAAAACCAUUCCUUAAAGAUAAGAGCCUGACUAUUUACCAAAAUUUACAUAUAGGUCCAAUAAAUGGAGCUGACUUUACCCAUGCAGGACUGGACGUCAGACUCAGCUGUCUCUGUCAUGAUGCACUUUUAAGGCCUUUUUAACAGAAUGAGCUAGAUUACUGGCAAAGAAAUGAAUUUCUCCUAUCUUCAGAGAAUUCUAAAUCUCCUCACUAGAGAAUUAGACUGUCUGUCCCAUUUCCAACAGUGACACAUGUUGAAUGGCCCAGCUUUGGCGAAUGGUCCUGGCCUGCCAUGUCUUCUCACAACAAAUGUUUCCUUGCAGUUUGCUCACUCUGGGGUCAGUAAGAAUUUCAAAUUGGGACAGAAAAACAGAGAACUGUUUUAAGUGGGCUGACCUUGGCCUUCACAAAUUACCUCUGAAGUUCCAGGAUUUGUGAAUGACCCAGAGGUCCAUGAUCCACAGUCAUGCACCAUUUGAAUGAAGCAUGAAUUUGGAUGGUGUGCAUCUGGAAGCAGGGAGGGGAACUGGGUCUCACGGCUGGGAAGCACCAGCACCUUAGCUUUGUGGAACUUACGACAUGGUGGAAGUUCUGUUUCUUGGCAAAAAAUGGUCAUGUGGUUGAAGAGAAAGUUUCAGAGGAUAUAGAAAUAACCAUCAACUUGUGGUAGGAGAAUGGCACUGGGUGCUCAUGGAGCUUUACAAGACACGUGAAGUGGGAGGAAACCAAGACACGUGAAGUGGGAGGAAACCAGUGUCAGUAUUUCCAGUGCUCCAAAUUCAGGAUCCCUGGAGGUUUCAGAAUCAGUCCUCCCAAAUAUUUAUGGAAAGAAUAACAAAUGCUUGCAUUUAUUGAGUGAUAAUUAUAUGCCAGGCAAGGUGCCAAGAGCUUAGCCCACAUCAUCUCCUGUGACCCUCACAGCAACACUCCAAGCGCGUACUUUUACGAUCACCAUUUUCUAGAGAAGGAAACUGAGCACAGAGCGGUUGUCCAGUUUCAACAAGAACCCACAGCCAGACAGUGGCAGAGCUACGAUUCGAACUGACAAACACUCUCUCCUCACCCAAACUUUAGUUCGGCUCCUCUGAGCCCUCUAUUCAACUAGGCCUCAAAUAUGGCCCCAGUCCUGCCCAGCAAAAAUCAUGCCAAGCCAGUUUAGCAAAAAUGUCUUCACCUUUGAUCUCUGAUCACCCUUGAAAUCUGAUCAAUUUCCUCAUCUCCUACCCUUAAUGUAUAAGUCCUUGACCUGCCUUUAGCAAGAAUCCUGUUCGGUCAGUUUAGCAAGAAUUUCCCAACCCUGGGUGUCUCCUCUUCACAAUUUUUCAUCCACUGACUCUCCUUACUCUGCUCACUGACUAUAAUCCCCACCUGUCCUUUCUGUAUUCAGAGUUGAUCCCCAUCUCCCUCCCCUAUUGCAGCACCCCUACUGUGAUGGUCUUAAAUAAACCCUUCCUUACCUUUUAAAUAAGUCUCAGAAUCAUUCUUUCAUGAACAGAACAUAGGCAGUUGGACUCUGGUACCUGCACUCUUAAUCCACACAGUAUCCUGCCAGACCAGCUCUGUCCAAUACAACUAUAAUGGAAGCCACAUGUGUAAUUUUUAAUUAUCUAAUAGCCACAUUGAAAACGGAGAGAGAAACAGGUGAAAUUUUUUUUAAUGUUUUUACCUAGUGUAUUUGAAAUGCC